Molecule: non-coding RNA, 1376 nt
Organism: Myodes glareolus (Bank vole)
Lineage: Eukaryota; Metazoa; Chordata; Mammalia; Rodentia; Cricetidae
Source: RefSeq, a predicted model, not a curated record
UGCAUUUUCAGCUGCAAAACUAAACUCAGUGGAGGAUCUCUACAGCCUUUCAUUACCCAGAGUGAACAGGGUGUACGCAUCUUGCACAAGAGGGAGUACAGACAUAGAGAGGUACCCCAAGUUCUUCUCUCCUCUCACCUGGAAGCUAGCUCAUCUUUGCCUCUGAAGAAUGAAGCUCCCUCGCUGACUUACGAUCUCUCGCUGCAAACUGAGGUUUCCUGCUGGCUUCCUCCGGGUCCCCAGUGGGCUAGCCGUGCCUUCAGGAAGCCUUCAGAGCAGAACUCUACUCCACGGUUCCCAGGCAGUUUAGGCUGGGUUGCUACGGACUCAGUCCCCAAGGAGCCUGUGGGAGCAGCUGCUGGAGCCCCAGUCCCAGAGGAAGCUGUUGAUUUCUCAGAGCCUGGAGUGCUGUUGUCCAAGAGGCGAAUUAGACAACAGCAGUAUUAGGAAGCUUUGUAAGUCUCGGUCACCUCGGCAAGCCCCUCAUACCUCGACUAGCCACGCCCAACAACUGGGAAUAUAAAGGAAGAAUUUCUUCCAAUCAGAGAGUCACUUUGAGAACUUGCAUUGGAACUGUGAUGAGAAUGAACAUGGAAGUCACACACAGGGCUGUACGUUCUGCUUUCCUGGUGAGACCUUUUUCCCUUGGGGACUUCCUGAAUGAGACAGGACCAUGGGCUUUCUAACUACGAGGGCUAUGCCUUUUAGAAGGCACCCAAUUUAAACACUGUGGUCUCAGCAUCUCCCACUACCACACAGAGUAUCAUAGUUUAGCCUUACUGCUUGCCUGCAAUAGGUUAGACAUUGUCCUAAAUGUUCCAUGGCUCAUCUCACUUCAUAUCCAUAUGUACUAUAGGUUGGGAGUGUUAUGUCCUCCUUGUCAAAUGUACCUGGGAAGUAAAUCUACCUUGUAGGCUGUUCGGAAGGUUCCGUGGUCACAAUUGUUACACAUUUAAUUGGUACCCGAUACCGAGCGUCUUAUCUCAUUUUAAAGGGGAUGAGACAAAACAUGGGUUACAGAUAGCCUAGGAUUUGAACCUGGUAUUUGGAUGUAAGAACCCAUGCCUUUAAUCACUACACCUACCAUCUCCUUCUAUGGCUUAAGCCUCCUCCAAGAAAUGGAGCCAUCUCUUGGAACAGGCCAAAAAUGAUGUCCUACCCCGUGUGGAACUAGAAACAGAAAGUGAGAGAAGAUACAAAAGUCUAUGAUUUGGCAAGAAAGCUGACUAAAGUCGGGGCCUGAGGGAAAGGGGACGCUUUGGGACCCGCAAACUCAAGAACAUAUGUGUCUCCAGGAAUUCAGGUCCUGGGUGCACACUCAGUCUCAGUGACUGCAGGUGGCACACAAAAGUUGUUGUUCCUAGGUUACAGGGGCA